Molecule: small RNA, 536 nt
Filed under: Pongo abelii (Sumatran orangutan)
Lineage: Eukaryota; Metazoa; Chordata; Mammalia; Primates; Hominidae
Description: retained intron
Source: RNAcentral
GAGUGCGUGAAGGGAGCCAGGCUCCGGCUCGCCUGAUGGAUUGACUUGGAGAUGGAUCGAAUUACACCAUUUGCCGUGCAUCGGUUUGUUUUGCUCCUACUCUGUCCCGCUGCUGCUGCUGCUGCUGCUGCUGCAAGGGGUGGUGGCGAGUUUCAGGAUUCUAUCAAGGAAGCCAAGACCUAAGGAGACAGAGGGAUAUCUAUUUUUACAAUAUUUUUCUUUAUUUUCUUUCUUCCUUGCGCGUGGCAAGCUUUUUUUUUCUUUUUCUUUUUUCUUACCAGCCUCCCCCCAAUGAGGUAGUUCAGUGGCAUUUCUGAGCAGGGGCUACCCUGACUUCACCUUGGCCCACCAUGAGGGUCUUCCUGCUUUGUGCCUACAUACUGCUGCUGAUGAUUUCCCAGUUGAGGGCAGUCAGCUUUCCUGAAGAUGAUGAACCCCUUAAUACUGUCGACUAUCACUGUAAGUCGUCUCAAGAACAGUCUUCUAUUCUGAGAAGGGAAGCUUUUCUGUUUUUCAUUCUCUAAGCAUGUUCAUUU